GAUGAACGCUGGCGGCGUGCCUAAUACAUGCAAGUCGAGCGAACAGACGAGGAGCUUGCUCCUCUGACGUUAGCGGCGGACGGGUGAGUAACACGUGGAUAACCUACCUAUAAGACUGGGAUAACUUCGGGAAACCGGAGCUAAUACCGGAUAAUAUAUUGAACCGCAUGGUUCAAUAGUGAAAGACGGUUUUGCUGUCACUUAUAGAUGGAUCCGCGCCGCAUUAGCUAGUUGGUAAGGUAACGGCUUACCAAGGCAACGAUGCGUAGCCGACCUGAGAGUGGGAUCGGCCACAGUGACACGAGAACAGGGUCAAGACCCGUACGGGGGGAGGGAGUGGGGAAUCUUCCGAAAGGGGCAAAAGCCGGACGGAGCAACACGGGGUGAGGGAGAAGGGUCUUCGGAUCUAAAAAUUGUGUUAUGAGGGAAAAAAAAAUGUGUAAGUAACUAUGCACGUCUUGACGGUCCCUAAUAAGAAACCCACGGCUAACUCGGUG
RNAcentral lists this ribosomal RNA (497 nucleotides) under uncultured bacterium. RNAcentral's name for it is "partial 16S ribosomal RNA". It matches the Rfam family "Bacterial small subunit ribosomal RNA", at positions 28 to 507 of the family's 1533-position model. The record is from RNAcentral.